RNAcentral lists this long non-coding RNA (554 nucleotides) under Phaseolus vulgaris (common bean). Its description in RNAcentral is "long non-coding RNA (PVUL_LNC004921)". The record is from RNAcentral. Lineage: Eukaryota; Viridiplantae; Streptophyta; Magnoliopsida; Fabales; Fabaceae.
UUCUAUAGGUGGACGUUUGAUCCAGGAGGACAAGCUUUGGCGAAGCAAAAGGUUGCUAUCCGAGAUCAAGUCUGUAGAUCUGAGGAUAGAUCUUCUCAAGAAGGAGGAGAUGAUGGACACCAUCCAGCCACAUCCAUUCCCCUAGCCAUGAAGAAGAAGAAGAAGAAAUGGAUUUGAGGACAAAUCCUUUUCAAGAGGGAGGGGAUGAUGGAAGAGGCCCAAGCACAAGCCCACAUGCAAGCCCACCAAAGGGUAGAUUUGGGCCAACCAUAGAGUUAUGGCCAAGAGGAUCCAAGAAGACGUUCUUUUACAUGUUCAAAUGCCAUAAACUCUAGUGUAGAGUAGACUUUAAUUUCUUGUCAAAAUUAGCAUAGGAACUUUAUUUGUAAUUUUCUUAGAAUUAAUUUUUGCACCUAAAACACCAACCUAGGUAAACUUAGAGUUUCUAAAAAAAAACUCUAAAUUUACCAAGGCCGGUCUAGAAAGCCCAUGGAGGGGGUGAGCAUAAAAACUAGACACACCCCUCCCCAUGUGCUCAUUUGUGCACCCAUGUG